This 504-nucleotide ribosomal RNA is filed under the name uncultured bacterium. RNAcentral describes it as "partial 16S ribosomal RNA". It matches the Rfam family "Bacterial small subunit ribosomal RNA", at positions 30 to 523 of the family's 1533-position model. The record is from RNAcentral.
AUUGAACGCUGGCGGCAGGCCUAACACAUGCAAGUCGAGCGGUAGCACAGGGAGCUUGCUCCUGGGUGACGAGCGGCGGACGGGUGAGUAAUGUCUGGGAAACUGCCUGAUGGAGGGGGAUAACUACUGGAAACGGUAGCUAAUACCGCAUAACGUCGCAAGACCAAAGAGGGGGACCUUCGGGCCUCCUGCCAUCAGAUGUGCCCAGAUGGGAUUAGCUAGUAGGUGGGGUAACGGCUCACCUAGGCGACGAUCCCUAGCUGGUCUGAGAGGAUGACCAGCCACACUGGAACUGAGACACGGUCCAGACUCCUACGGGGGGCAGCAGUGGGGAAUAUUGCACAAUGGGCGCAAGCCUGAUGCAGCCAUGCCGCGUGUAUGAAGAAGGCCUUCGGGUUGUAAAGUACUUUCAGCGGGGAGGAAGGCGAUAAGGUUAAUAACCUUGUCGAUUGACGUUACCCGCAGAAGAAGCACCGGCUAACUCCGUGCCAGCAGCCGCCGUAG